This 431-nucleotide ribosomal RNA is filed under the name Boa constrictor (boa). RNAcentral describes it as "partial 16S ribosomal RNA". It matches the Rfam family "Bacterial large subunit ribosomal RNA", at positions 1951 to 2594 of the family's 2925-position model. Lineage: Eukaryota; Metazoa; Chordata; Lepidosauria; Squamata; Boidae. The record is from RNAcentral.
CAAAGGUAGCGUAAUCAUUUGUCUAUUAAUUGUAGACUGGUAUGAAAGGCCACAUGAGAGCCAAACUGUCUCUUAUAAUAAAUCAAUUAAACUGAUCUCCUAGUACAAAAGCUAGAAUAACUAUAUAAGACCAGAAGACCCUGUGAAGCUUAAACUAAACUAUUAAACCAAUUAAUAACUACUUUCGGUUGGGGCGACCUUGGAACAAAACCAAACUUCCAAACAAAAUGAGCUAUACCUCAUAACCCUAGGCCAACAAGCCAACCAACGACCCAGUAUAACUGAUCAUUGAACCAAGUUACUCCAGGGAUAACAGCGCUAUCUUCUUCAAGAGCCCAUAUCAAAAAGAAGGUUUACGACCUCGAUGUUGGAUCAGGACACCCAAAUGGUGUAGCCGCUAUUAAUGGUUCGUUUGUUCAACGAUUAACAGU